UCGCCCUAUGACAGCUGGGAUAGGCUCCAGCGCCCCCCGCGACCCUGAAAAGGAUAAGCGGAAGCGAAUGGAUGGAUGGAGAUCACUUGUCAUCGAUCAAACUGAUUCGAUGUACAAGGAUCUUUGAUAUAUCAAAUCUUGUGAUUUGACAUCAAUAGAUCACUUGUCGUCAAUCAAACUCUGAUUCGAUAUCCAAGUAUCUUUGAUAUAUCAAAUCUUGUGAUUUGACAUCAAUAGAUCACUUGACAUCGAUUACACUCUGAUUCGAUGUACAAGGAUUUUUGAUAUAUCAAAUCUUGUGAUUUGACAUCAAUAGAUCACUUGACAUCGAUCAAACUCUGAUUCGAGUACGAGGCAGCAGAGAGGACCUUGUAUGGGUUUACUACCACAUUCUAAAGGUCCUGGCAUUCUACUGAAGUAGGGAAGGCGUCAUUAGAUGAUGACUCCUAGUGAUGGUGAGAUGAAGCCUCGUGAGGAACUGAAGGUUUCCAUCCAACUGGUCGACUCAUGGUUCAAAGCAUUGUGAUGAUUCAUUUGCUCUACUGCACCAUCAAGUGGACGAUUCAAGU
Haplochromis burtoni (Burton's mouthbrooder) is the source of this 569-nucleotide long non-coding RNA. RefSeq lists it as uncharacterized. Lineage: Eukaryota; Metazoa; Chordata; Actinopteri; Cichliformes; Cichlidae. The record is from RefSeq and is a predicted model, not a curated record. The transcript is spliced from 2 exons.